AUGCAAGUCGAACGGUAACAUUUCUAGCUUGCUAGAAGAUGACGAGUGGCGGACGGGUGAGUAAUGCUUGGGAACUUGCCUUUGCGAGGGGGAUAACAGUUGGAAACGACUGCUAAUACCGCAUAAUGUCUUCGGACCAAACGGGGCUUAGGCUCCGGCGCAAAGAGAGGCCCAAGUGAGAUUAGCUAGUUGGUAAGGUAACGGCUUACCAAGGCGACGAUCUCUAGCUGUUCUGAGAGGAAGAUCAGCCACACUGGGACUGAGACACGGCCCAGACUCCUACGGGAGGCAGCAGUGGGGAAUAUUGCACAAUGGGGGAAACCCUGAUGCAGCCAUGCCGCGUGUGUGAAGAAGGCCCUCGGGUUGUAAAGCACUUUCAGUUGUGAGGAAAAGUUAGUAGUUAAUACCUGCUAGCCGUGACGUUUACAACAGAAGAAGCACCGGCUAACUCCGUGCCAGCAGCCGCGGUAAUACGGAGGGUGCGAGCGU
Molecule: ribosomal RNA, 489 nt
Filed under: uncultured bacterium
Lineage: Bacteria
Description: bacterial SSU rRNA
Rfam family: Bacterial small subunit ribosomal RNA
Source: RNAcentral